This 497-nucleotide ribosomal RNA is filed under the name uncultured bacterium. Its description in RNAcentral is "partial 16S ribosomal RNA". It matches the Rfam family "Bacterial small subunit ribosomal RNA", at positions 28 to 507 of the family's 1533-position model. The record is from RNAcentral.
GAUGAACGCUGGCGGCGUGCCUAAUACAUGCAAGUCGAACGAACAUACGCGGAGUUUGCCGGUCUGGCGUUGUCGGCGGACGGGUGAUUAACACGUGGUUAACCUCCCUAUAAUACUGGGAAAACUUCGGAAAACCGGAGCUAAUCCCGGAGAAUAUGUUGAACCGCAUGGUUCAAUAGUGAAAGACGGUUUUGCUGGCACUUAUAGAUGGGUCCGCGCCGCAUUAGCUAGUUGGUGAGGUAACGGCUUACUACGGCCACGAUGCGUAGCCGACCUGCGAGGGGGAUCGGCGGCACUGGAGCGGCGACACGGUGCAGACGCCUACGGGGGGCAGCAGUAGGGAAUGUUCCGCAAUGGGCGGAAGCCUGCCGGUGCAGCGCCGCGGGAGGGAUGAAGGUGGUCUGAUCGUAGAGCUCUGUUAUUGGGGGUGAAGAAAGGUCUAAUUUUCGAUGCGCGGUUUGACGGUACCGGGUCAGAAAGCCACGGCUAACUACGUG